CAGUAGCCGCGGUAAUACGAAGGGUGCAAGCGUUAAUCGGAAUUACUGGGCGUAAAGCGUGCGUAGGCGGUUUGUUAAGUCUGUUGUGAAAUCCCCGGGCUCAACCUGGGAAUGGCAAUGGAUACUGGCAAGCUAGAGUGUGUCAGAGGAUGGUGGAACUCCCGGCGUAGCGGUGAAAUGCGUAGAGAUCGGGAGGAACAUCAGUGGCGAAGGCGGCCAUCUGGGACAACACUGACGCUGAGGCACGAAAGCGUGGGGAGCAAACAGGAUUAGAUACCCCGGUAGUCCCUGUCUCUUAUAC
This 301-nucleotide ribosomal RNA is filed under the name uncultured bacterium. Its description in RNAcentral is "partial 16S ribosomal RNA". It matches the Rfam family "Bacterial small subunit ribosomal RNA", at positions 509 to 807 of the family's 1533-position model. The record is from RNAcentral.